GGUCCUUUUCACUACAAUCUUGUAUGGCCAUUAGCAGCCUCUUCACUCACUGUCGAAGAUGACCGCUUUUUCGCUGGCCUUCUUCGAUCGACGCUAUGUAUCACCACCGCUCAUUACCAGCUGCUCAACUAGUCUAAGAUCGCUCUCUCUCAACUCUUGGUGUGCUAUCAGCUUGAUUUAGUUCAAACCAAACCAUCUUUCUUUGUGAGUAAUCUUUGGGUUAAUAUGUGAGAUUCUAUCUGUAUAAAUUUCAAAUUUUAGUACUGGGAAGUAAACCUGCUUGCAGAAAAAAAUUUCUUAAAGUAUAUUAGAGAAAAAGAUUUAGAAAAGGUACUUUUUUUUUUUUUGAUUUCAUGUGUUUAUUUGUUAGGUAAUUGUGUAUAAUUAGAUUCAAAUUGCUAAAAUGAUUUAGGAUGUAGCUUGAUAUGUAUGGAAAUAUUAGUAUUAGGAUCUAACCUUUUUUUGGUUGGAUCUCCAAGAACAUUUUCAACUUGGACUCUCG
RNAcentral lists this long non-coding RNA (502 nucleotides) under Ricinus communis (castor bean). Its description in RNAcentral is "long non-coding RNA (RCOM_LNC000904)". The record is from RNAcentral. Lineage: Eukaryota; Viridiplantae; Streptophyta; Magnoliopsida; Malpighiales; Euphorbiaceae.